RNAcentral lists this ribosomal RNA (189 nucleotides) under uncultured bacterium. RNAcentral's name for it is "partial 16S ribosomal RNA". It matches the Rfam family "Bacterial small subunit ribosomal RNA", at positions 338 to 524 of the family's 1533-position model. The record is from RNAcentral.
CCUAGGGGAGGCAGCAGUGAGGAAUAUUGGUCAAUGGGCGGAAGCCUGAACCAGCCAAGUAGCGUGCAGGAUGACGGCCCUAUGGGUUGUAAACUGCUUUUAUACAGGAAUAAAGUUAGCCACGUGUGGUUAUUUGUAGGUACUGUAUGAAUAAGGACCGGCUAAUUUCGUGCCAGCAGCCGCGGUAAU